Molecule: ribosomal RNA, 253 nt
Filed under: uncultured bacterium
Lineage: Bacteria
Description: partial 16S ribosomal RNA
Rfam family: Bacterial small subunit ribosomal RNA
Source: RNAcentral
UACGGAGGAUGCAAGCGGUAUCCGGAUCCAUUGGGUUUAAAGGGUGCGUAGGCGGGGCGGUAAGUCAGUGGUGAAAGCCUGCAGCUUAACUGUAGAAUUGCCAUUGAUACUGUCGCUCUUGAAUGCGGUUGAGGCAGGCGGAAUGUGUAAUUUUGCGGUGAAAUGCUUAGAUAUUACACAGAACACCGAUUGCGUAGGCAGCUUGCUAAACCGUGAUUGACGCUGAGGCACGAAAGCGUGGGGAGCAAACAGG